AUUGAACGCUGGCGGCAGGCCUAACACAUGCAAGUCGAGCGGAUGCAGGGAGCUUGCUCCUUGAUUCAGCGGCGGACGGGUGAGUAAUGCCUAGGAAUCUGCCUGGUUGUGGGGGAUAACGUCCGGAAACGGGCGCUAAUACCGCAUACGUCCUGAGGGAGAAAGUGGGGGAUCUUCGGACCUUACGCUAUCAGAUGAGCCUAGGUCGGAUUAGCUAGUUGGUGGGGUAAAGGCCUACCAAGGCGACGAUCCGUAACUGGUCUGAGAGGAUGAUCAGUCACACUGGAACUGAGACACGGUCCAGACUCCUACGGGAGGCAGCAGUGGGGAAUAUUGGACAAUGGGCGAAAGCCUGAUCCAGCCAUGCCGCGUGUGUGAAGAAGGUCUUCGGAUUGUAAAGCACUUUAAGUUGGGAGGAAGAGCAGUAAGUUAAUACCUUGCUGUUUUGACGUUACCAACAGAAUAAGCACCGGCUAACUUCGUG
This 484-nucleotide ribosomal RNA is filed under the name uncultured bacterium. RNAcentral's name for it is "partial 16S ribosomal RNA". It matches the Rfam family "Bacterial small subunit ribosomal RNA", at positions 30 to 507 of the family's 1533-position model. The record is from RNAcentral.